GAUGUAUGUAACUUGCCCAAGGUCACAGAGCCAAGAGGUGGCUGAAGCCAGACUUGAACCCAGGCAUUCAGCUAAGAAACUGCAUUCUUAAGCAAAACAUCACAAGACCUGCUCUAGAGAAAGUGUUCCUGCCUCCUGCUAGGCAAGGUGAUGCCCUAGGGGAAAGGAAGGAGGAGAAAGAGAUGGGGUUUCGCCAUGUUGCCCAGGAUGAUCUUGAACUCCCAGGCUCAAGUGAUCCUCCUACCUUGGCCUCCCAAAGUGCUGAGAUUACAGAUACCCACAACAGGUGAAUGAGUGAAAGCAGUUCCACAGACACCCCUCUCUGCUGGAAAGUCCUUCCUAUCUGACUCCAGUCCCACUUGCUGGAGGAGUUCCCCUCAUUUUGUUUCUGAGACAGC
This is a long non-coding RNA of Gorilla gorilla gorilla (western lowland gorilla), 398 nucleotides long. RefSeq lists it as uncharacterized. The record is from RefSeq and is a predicted model, not a curated record. Lineage: Eukaryota; Metazoa; Chordata; Mammalia; Primates; Hominidae. The transcript is spliced from 3 exons.